GACGAACGCUGGCGGCGCGCCUAACACAUGCAAGUCGAACGAGAGAUGAGGAGCUUGCUCUUCAAAUCGAGUGGCGAACGGGUGAGUAACGCGUGAGGAACCUGCCUCAAAGAGGGGGACAACAGUUGGAACGACUGCUAAUACCGCAUAAGCCCACGGCUCGGCAUCGAGCAGAGGGAAAGGAGUGAUCCGCUUUGAGAUGGCCUCGCGUCCGAUUAGCUAGUUGGUGAGGUAACGGCCCACCAAGGCAACGAUCGGUAGCCGGACUGAGAGGUUGAACGGCCACAUCGGGACUGAGACACGGCCCAGACUCCUACGGGAGGCAGCAGUGGGGAAUAUUGCACAAUGGGGGGAAACCCUGAUGCAGCGACGCCGCGUGGAGGAAGAAGGUCUUCGGAUUGUAAACUCCUGUUGUUGAGGAAGAUAAUGACGGUACUCAACAAGGAAGUGACGGCUAACUACGUG
Molecule: ribosomal RNA, 465 nt
Filed under: uncultured bacterium
Lineage: Bacteria
Description: bacterial SSU rRNA
Rfam family: Bacterial small subunit ribosomal RNA
Source: RNAcentral